Molecule: ribosomal RNA, 253 nt
Filed under: uncultured bacterium
Lineage: Bacteria
Description: partial 16S ribosomal RNA
Rfam family: Bacterial small subunit ribosomal RNA
Source: RNAcentral
UACGUAGGGUGCGCGCGUUAAUCGGAAUUACUGGGCGUAAAGCGUGCGCAGGCGGCCUUCCAAGUCAGGGGUGAAAGCCCAGAGCUCAACUCUGGAAUUGCCUUUGAGACUGUGAGGCUUGAGUACGGGAGAGGUGAGUGGAAUUCCCAGUGUAGAGGUGAAAUUCGUAGAUAUUGGGAAGAACACCGGUGGCGAAGGCGGCUCACUGGCUCAUUACUGACGCUCAGGCGCGAUAGCGUGGGGAUCAAACAGG